Molecule: ribosomal RNA, 486 nt
Filed under: uncultured bacterium
Lineage: Bacteria
Description: partial 16S ribosomal RNA
Rfam family: Bacterial small subunit ribosomal RNA
Source: RNAcentral
AUUGAACGCUGGCGGCAUGCCUUACACAUGCAAGUCGAACGGCAGCACGGGUGCUUGCACCUGGUGGCGAGUGGCGAACGGGUGAGUAAUACAUCGGAACAUGUCCUGUAGUGGGGGAUAGCCCGGCGAAAGCCGGAUUAAUACCGCAUACGAUCUACGGAUGACAGCGGGGGACCUUCGGGCCUCGCGCUAUAGGGUUGGCCGAUGGCUGAUUAGCUAGUUGGUGGGGUAAAGGCCUACCAAGGCGACGAUCAGUAGCUGGUCUGAGAGGACGACCAGCCACACUGGGACUGAGACACGGCCCAGACUCCUACGGGAGGCAGCAGUGGGGAAUUUUGGACAAUGGGCGAAAGCCUGAUCCAGCAAUGCCGCGUGUGUGAAGAAGGCCUUCGGGUUGUAAAGCACUUUUGUCGGGAAAGAAAUCCUUGGCCCUAAUACGGUCGGGGGAUGACGGUACCGGAAGAAUAAGCACCGGCUAACUACGUG